This 86-nucleotide transfer RNA is filed under the name Bacillota bacterium. RNAcentral's name for it is "Firmicutes bacterium (anaerobic digester metagenome) tRNA-Leu". It matches the Rfam family "tRNA". From Rfam's summary of the family: Transfer RNA (tRNA) molecules are approximately 80 nucleotides in length. Their secondary structure includes four short double-helical elements and three loops (D, anti-codon, and T loops). Further hydrogen bonds mediate the characteristic L-shaped molecular structure. tRNAs have two regions of fundamental functional importance: the anti-codon, which is responsible for specific mRNA codon recognition, and the 3' end, to which the tRNAs corresponding amino acid is attached (by aminoacyl-tRNA synthetases). tRNAs cope with the degeneracy of the genetic code in two manners: having more than one tRNA (with a specific anti-codon) for a particular amino acid; and 'wobble' base-pairing, i.e. permitting non-standard base-pairing at the 3rd anti-codon position. The record is from RNAcentral. Lineage: Bacteria; Bacillati; Bacillota.
GCCGAAGUGGUGGAACUGGCAGACACGUACGACUCAAAAUCGUAUGGGCUUAGCCCAUGAGGGUUCGAUUCCCUCCUUCGGCACCA